RNAcentral lists this transfer RNA (79 nucleotides) under Citrobacter freundii. Its description in RNAcentral is "tRNA-OTHER". It matches the Rfam family "tRNA". Rfam says of the family: Transfer RNA (tRNA) molecules are approximately 80 nucleotides in length. Their secondary structure includes four short double-helical elements and three loops (D, anti-codon, and T loops). Further hydrogen bonds mediate the characteristic L-shaped molecular structure. tRNAs have two regions of fundamental functional importance: the anti-codon, which is responsible for specific mRNA codon recognition, and the 3' end, to which the tRNAs corresponding amino acid is attached (by aminoacyl-tRNA synthetases). tRNAs cope with the degeneracy of the genetic code in two manners: having more than one tRNA (with a specific anti-codon) for a particular amino acid; and 'wobble' base-pairing, i.e. permitting non-standard base-pairing at the 3rd anti-codon position. The record is from RNAcentral. Lineage: Bacteria; Pseudomonadati; Pseudomonadota; Gammaproteobacteria; Enterobacterales; Enterobacteriaceae. RNAcentral also lists the same sequence under 5 other names.
GGCACUGUACGCUUAAUGGUAAAGUCGGUGUAAACCCCUGAGGGGAGCAUGUAUGCAGGUUCGACUCCUGCCGGUGCCU